Molecule: ribosomal RNA, 1614 nt
Filed under: Triticum aestivum (bread wheat)
Lineage: Eukaryota; Viridiplantae; Streptophyta; Magnoliopsida; Poales; Poaceae
Description: partial small subunit ribosomal RNA
Source: RNAcentral
AUGAGCGGGGGAGGAGGGGGCGGCAACUCGAGGGAGCUCGACCAGACGCCGACAUGGGCCGUCGCCUCCGUCUGCGGCGUCAUCGUCCUCAUCUCCAUCCUCCUCGAGAUGGGCCUCCACAAAGUCGGAGAGUGGUUCGCGCACAGGAAGAAGAAGGCCAUGGUCGAAGCCCUUGAGAAGGUCAAGGCAGAACUGAUGGUGCUGGGGUUCAUCUCGCUGCUGCUGGUGUUCGGGCAGAGCUACAUCAUAAAGAUUUGCAUCUCCGAGGCUGCCGCCGACACCAUGCUCCCAUGCCGCCUCAAGAAGGCCACCGUCGAGGUCGAGAUCGCCAAGGACGGCGGCCACGGCGCCCCCGCGGGCGGCGCCAAGGAGGACCACGGCGCUAAGCAGCCGGAGGAGCAUUUCAGCCUCGGCACCCAUCCCUUCACCGCUACCUCCUUCAGCGUCCCCAACAGGAUGCUCAGCGAGGCCACCUCCUUCGGCGUCCCCCACAGAAUGCUCAGUGAGGCCAACAUGAACACCAAAUGCCCCCCGGGGAAGGUGUCCCUCAUCUCGAUAAACGCUCUGCACCAGCUGCACAUCUUCAUCUUCUUCCUGGCCGUGUUCCAUGUCUGCUACAGUGCCACCACCAUGGCACUCGGCAGGGCCAAGAUACGAGGAUGGAAAGAGUGGGAAAAAGAAGCGGCGGGCCAAGAUGAAGAAGUCACUAACGAUCCGUCGCAGUUCAGGUUUACGCACGAGACAUCGUUCGUCAGGCAGCACAUGAACGUCCUCAACAAGACCCCGGCCUCGUUUUACAUCAGCAACUUCUUCAGGCAGUUCUUCAGAUCGGUCCGGAGGGCCGACUACUGCGCGUUGCGCCACAGCUUCGUCAACGUUCAUUUGGCUCCUGGCAGCAAGUUUGAUUUCCAGAAGUACAUCAAGCGGUCUCUCGAGGAUGAUUUCAAGGUCAUCGUCGGGAUCAGCCCUAUUCUGUGGGCGUCUGCACUCAUCUUCCUGCUCGUCAACAUCAACGGGAUGCACACCAUGCUCUGGAUAUCCAUCAUGCCGCUGGUGAUCAUCCUGUCGGUGGGCACGAAGCUGCAGGGGAUCAUCUGCCGGAUGGCGAUCGACAUCACGGAGCGGCACGCGGUGAUCCAGGGGAUCCCGCUGGUGCAGGUCAGCGACAGCUACUUCUGGUUCAGCCGCCCCACCUUCGUCCUCUUCCUCAUCCACUUCACGCUCUUCCAGAACGGCUUCCAGAUCAUCUACUUCCUCUGGAUCCUCUACGAGUACGGGAUGGACUCGUGCUUCAACGACUCCACGAAGCUCGUCGUCGCGCGGCUCUGCCUCGGGGCGGUGGUGCAGGUGCUGUGCAGCUACGUGACGCUGCCGCUCUACGCGCUGGUGUCGCAGAUGGGGUCCACCAUGAAGCAGUCCAUCUUCGACGACCAGACCUCCAAGGCGCUCAAGAGCUGGCGCGCCGGCGUCAAAAAGAAGCCGGCGGCCCAUUCCAAGCACGGCGGGUCGCCCUCGGGGAGCCCGCACGCCGGCAGCCCCAAGGCCACCGACGAAGGCAGCACCGGCGUCGCGCUCACGCAGAAGCAAGGCCAGGGCGACGACGGCGCGCCAUGA